This 668-nucleotide long non-coding RNA is filed under the name Physcomitrium patens. RNAcentral's name for it is "long non-coding RNA (PPAT_LNC008374)". The record is from RNAcentral. Lineage: Eukaryota; Viridiplantae; Streptophyta; Bryopsida; Funariales; Funariaceae.
GACAAGUUAGACUAUCGAAGGCUUAGACCAUUUUCUAUUUCUACACAAAUCAAUCCAGUUGCAUAUCAUUUACAUCUACCGGUGUCGGGGUAGAAAGAGUUUGCCUCAAGAAAAUGCUAGGCUUUUGGCUAUCACAAAUUAUUCAAUCAAGCUUGAAAACAAGGGAAGCCCUAAGUUUAUAUAUAAUUUUUUCUUUUUGAGUAAUUAUACCAAAUAUACAAUCCUCAAGUAAUCCACAACUUCCAAAAUAUGAUAAAAUCUUCUAAAACCUUCUUUAAUCUUAUGUAGAGAUUUUUCCGAACUUCAACACCUCAUAUCUCCUAAUCCGACCGUCCAAACAAACUCAAAUUUUACAUGAGAUACUGAUGUAUUCUUAUUAACUUCUACAACAAAUUUCAACUGCAAAUUCAUUGCAAAUCUUGAGAUAUCUUGAAAACCUUAACAGUUGCUUCAAACCCUUGUCUUUAUACAUCUGCAUGCAAUUUUCUUCAUAUCUCACAAAAUAUAAGCUCAAAUGCUAUAAAAUUUGUUUUUAUAGCUUUUUAACACACAAAUUUACAUUCUCCAAAAGUUUGAGCCAAAAAUUCAUCCGAAUACUCAAGUUAUGGCUCCAACCAUUACUACAAAUAAAACUGCUUACUUACUACCUUUGAUUUGGAAGUGCCGCC